RNAcentral lists this ribosomal RNA (253 nucleotides) under uncultured bacterium. RNAcentral's name for it is "partial 16S ribosomal RNA". It matches the Rfam family "Bacterial small subunit ribosomal RNA", at positions 524 to 776 of the family's 1533-position model. The record is from RNAcentral.
UACGAAGGGGGCUAGCGUUGCUCGGAAUCACUGGGCGUAAAGCGCACGUAGGCGGAUUGUUAAGUCAGGGGUGAAAUCCUGGAGCUCAACUCCAGAACUGCCUUUGAUACUGGCGAUCUCGAGUUCGGGAGAGGUGAGUGGAACUGCGAGUGUAGAGGUGAAAUUCGUAGAUAUUCGCAAGAACACCAGUGGCGAAGGCGGCUCACUGGCCCGAUACUGACGCUGAUGUGCGAAAGCGUGGGGAGCAAACAGG